This 530-nucleotide ribosomal RNA is filed under the name uncultured bacterium. Its description in RNAcentral is "bacterial SSU rRNA". It matches the Rfam family "Bacterial small subunit ribosomal RNA", at positions 919 to 1448 of the family's 1533-position model. The record is from RNAcentral.
GCCCGCACAAGCGGUGGAGCAUGUGGAUUAAUUCGAUGCAACGCGAAAAACCUUACCUGGCCUUGACAUGUAACGAACUUUCCAGAGAUGGAUUGGUGCUCGAAAGAGAACGUUAACACAGGUGCUGCAUGGCUGUCGUCAGCUCGUGUCGUGAGAUGUUGGGUUAAGUCCCGCAACGAGCGCAACCCUUGCCAUUAAUUGCCAUCAUUUAGUUGGGCACUUUAAUGGGACUGCCGGUGACAAACCGGGGGAAGGUGGGGAUGACGUCAAGUCCUCAUGGCCCUUAUGGCCAGGGCUUCACACGUAAUACAAUGGUCGGUACAGAGGGUUGCCAACCCGCGAGGGGGAGCCAAUCCCAGAAAGCCGAUCGUAGUCCGGAUUGUAGUCUGCAACUCGACUACAUGAAGUCGGAAUCGCUAGUAAUCGCGGAUCAGCAUGUCGCGGUGAAUACGUUCCCGGGCCUUGUACACACCGCCCGUCACACCAUGGGAGUGGGUUUUACCAGAAGUAGGUAGUCUAACCGCAAGGAG